RNAcentral lists this transfer RNA (73 nucleotides) under Apaloderma vittatum (bar-tailed trogon). It matches the Rfam family "tRNA". From Rfam's summary of the family: Transfer RNA (tRNA) molecules are approximately 80 nucleotides in length. The record is from Rfam by way of RNAcentral. Lineage: Eukaryota; Metazoa; Chordata; Aves; Trogoniformes; Trogonidae.
GGCCAGUUAGCUCAGUCGGUUGAGUGUGGCUCUAACAACGCCAAGGACGCCGGUUUGAUUCCCGUUCGGUCCC